Molecule: ribosomal RNA, 512 nt
Filed under: uncultured bacterium
Lineage: Bacteria
Description: partial 16S ribosomal RNA
Rfam family: Bacterial small subunit ribosomal RNA
Source: RNAcentral
GACGAACGCUGGCGGCGUGCCUAAUACAUGCAAGUCGAGCGGAACUGGGGGAGCUUGCUCCUUCCAGUUUAGCGGCGGACGGGUGAGUAACACGUGGGCAACCGGCCCUGCAGAUCGGGAUAACUCCGGGAAACCGGUGCUAAUACCGAAUAGUUUGGCGCCUCUCCUGAGGCGCCACGGAAAGACGGUUUCGGCUGUCACUGCAGGAUGGGCCCGCGGCGCAUUAGCUAGUUGGUGGGGUAACGGCCCACCAAGGCGACGAUGCGUAGCCGACCUGAGAGGGUGACCGGCCACACUGGGACUGAGACACGGCCCAGACUCCUACGGGAGGCAGCAGUAGGGAAUCUUCCGCAAUGGACGCAAGUCUGACGGAGCAACGCCGCGUGAGUGACGAAGGUUUUCGGAUCGUAAAACUCUGUUAUGAGGGAAGAACACGUACCAACUAACUACUGGUACCUUGACGGUACCUCACCAGAAAGCCACGGCUAACUACGUGCCAGCAGCCGCAGUAA